UGGGAUGGGAAAAGUGCUGACCUUACUGGAUCGCGUCUGAUCUUGGAAACUAAGCAGGGUCGAGCCUGGUUAGUAUUUGGAUGGGAGACCACCUAGGAAGACCAGGUGCUGUAGGAG
Molecule: ribosomal RNA, 117 nt
Filed under: Pteropus alecto (black flying fox)
Lineage: Eukaryota; Metazoa; Chordata; Mammalia; Chiroptera; Pteropodidae
Source: RNAcentral